RNAcentral lists this ribosomal RNA (1479 nucleotides) under Klebsiella pneumoniae. RNAcentral describes it as "partial 23S ribosomal RNA". It matches the Rfam family "Bacterial large subunit ribosomal RNA", at positions 1 to 1527 of the family's 2925-position model. The record is from RNAcentral. Lineage: Bacteria; Pseudomonadati; Pseudomonadota; Gammaproteobacteria; Enterobacterales; Enterobacteriaceae.
GGUUAAGCGACUAAGCGUACACGGUGGAUGCCCUGGCAGUCAGAGGCGAUGAAGGACGUGCUAAUCUGCGAAAAGCGUCGGUAAGGUGAUAUGAACCGUUAUAGCCGGCGAUGUCCGAAUGGGGAAACCCAGUGCAAUUCGUUGCACUAUCGUUAACUGAAUACAUAGGUUAACGAGGCGAACCGGGGGAACUGAAACAUCUAAGUACCCCGAGGAAAAGAAAUCAACCGAGAUUCCCCCAGUAGCGGCGAGCGAACGGGGAGCAGCCCAGAGUCUGAAUCAGCUUGUGUGUUAGUGGAACGGUCUGGAAAGUCCGACGGUACAGGGUGAUAGUCCCGUACACCAAAAUGCACAGGUUGUGAACUCGAAGAGUAGGGCGGGACACGUGGUAUCCUGUCUGAAUAUGGGGGGACCAUCCUCCAAGGCUAAAUACUCCUGACUGACCGAUAGUGAACCAGUACCGUGAGGGAAAGGCGAAAAGAACCCCGGCGAGGGGAGUGAAAAAGAACCUGAAACCGUGUACGUACAAGCAGUGGGAGCACCUUCGGGUGUGACUGCGUACCUUUUGUAUAAUGGGUCAGCGACUUAUAUUCUGUAGCAAGGUUAACCGUAUAGGGGAGCCGCAGGGAAACCGAGUCUUAACUGGGCGUUAAGUUGCAGGGUAUAGACCCGAAACCCGGUGAUCUAGCCAUGGGCAGGUUGAAGGUUGGGUAACACUAACUGGAGGACCGAACCGACUAAUGUUGAAAAAUUAGCGGAUGACUUGUGGCUGGGGGUGAAAGGCCAAUCAAACCGGGAGAUAGCUGGUUCUCCCCGAAAGCUAUUUAGGUAGCGCCUCGUGAACUCAUCUUCGGGGGUAGAGCACUGUUUCGGCUAGGGGGUCAUCCCGACUUACCAACCCGAUGCAAACUACGAAUACCGAAGAAUGUUAUCACGGGAGACACACGGCGGGUGCUAACGUCCGUCGUGAAGAGGGAAACAACCCAGACCGCCAGCUAAGGUCCCAAAGUCAUGGUUAAGUGGGAAACGAUGUGGGAAGGCACAGACAGCCAGGAUGUUGGCUUAGAAGCAGCCAUCAUUUAAAGAAAGCGUAAUAGCUCACUGGUCGAGUCGGCCUGCGCGGAAGAUGUAACGGGGCUAAACCAUGCACCGAAGCUGCGGCAGCGACACUAUGUGUUGUUGGGUAGGGGAGCGUUCUGUAAGCCUGCGAAGGUGACCUGUGAGGGUUGCUGGAGGUAUCAGAAGUGCGAAUGCUGACAUAAGUAACGAUAAAGCGGGUGAAAAGCCCGCUCGCCGGAAGACCAAGGGUUCCUGUCCAACGUUAAUCGGGGCAGGGUGAGUCGACCCCUAAGGCGAGGCCGAAAGGCGUAGUCGAUGGGAAACAGGUUAAUAUUCCUGUACUUGGUGUUACUGCGAAGGGGGGACGGAGAAGGCUAUGUUAGCCGGGCGACGGUUGUCCCGGUUUAAGCAUGUAGGCUG